UCUUGCAAACUAAAGAUGGCGACCGGCGCACGGGUGAGUAACACGUAUCCAACCUGCCGAUAACUCGGGGAUAGCCUUUCGAAAGAAAGAUUAAUAUCCGAUAGUAUAUUAAAACCGCAUGGUUUUACUAUUAAAGAAUUUCGGUUAUCGAUGGGGAUGCGUUCCAUUAGUUUGUUGGCGGGGUAACGGCCCACCAAGACUACGAUGGAUAGGGGUUCUGAGAGGAAGGUCCCCCACAUUGGAACUGAGACACGGUCCAA
This 260-nucleotide ribosomal RNA is filed under the name uncultured bacterium. Its description in RNAcentral is "partial 16S ribosomal RNA". It matches the Rfam family "Bacterial small subunit ribosomal RNA", at positions 73 to 334 of the family's 1533-position model. The record is from RNAcentral.